AUCAAGUGGACGAGUGUUGUAAUCAGCUGGAGUGCAGAUCGCAGCAAGAUUGAUGGUCAGAUCUGCCAUCUUGAUAAGGCCUUCAAGACGAGAAUCGUUCUUAAUGUUGAUACGGUGAAACUCAAUACGAUCAGCCCAGGCGAGAGUAGCCGGUUCGAGAAGAUGCUUGAUCUUGUCAUUGCUAACAUCGACGGCGAGCACCUUGUGCGGCGUCUCCGACAUCAAUUUUUCACAUAGAUGCGAGCCAAUAAAACCUCCGGCACCAAUCAUACAUAUUGUAAUCGGCUUAAUCGGAUUUCCGUCCAGAUCUACCCUUCCUGCCAUUUCCAAAAUUCUCUACAACUGCUACUUGUUCGUUAACUUCCACUCUGAAAGAUAGAAAUUCGUUGCUUCUCUGAAGGGAAACAAAUGCUAUGGGGAAAAUGACGGUGAAGAAGAGAAAAUAAUUUGAUGGGAUGUAUUUAAAGGAA
RNAcentral lists this unclassified non-coding RNA (470 nucleotides) under Hevea brasiliensis (rubber tree). The record is from RNAcentral. Lineage: Eukaryota; Viridiplantae; Streptophyta; Magnoliopsida; Malpighiales; Euphorbiaceae.